UAAAAACAAAUAUACAUACAAAACUAGUGCUACCAACAUGCCGUGCGAGAAAUUACUACCAUCCUACAACAACAUUUUCAGCCAAAAUGCUGUUGCUUUUGAAUACAGAAACAUAAUAAGUAUGGAAGUCUGAAUUGUUAACGGUUUCUUACGUACUACAAAAGUUUUUAAAUGCAAUAUGAACAAAUUAACUUUCACAAAAUAUAGCACACGAGCACACUGUCGUGCUUCGACGGGUGGUGAACGUGCUCAUUUAACAGCCGUAUGUUAUUGUGAUCGUUACUUCAUAAAAAAAAUUCCCGGUUCUAAUAAAAAUUCCUGGUUGAUUCCAGGUAUUCCUGGUUUUUUUAAGAAAUCCUGGCUAUUUCCCGUAUUUCCCGAUUUCCCGGUUGGCUGGCCACCCUGAUAUACAGUAAAAUAUGAUUCUGAGGAGAGCAGAAGGAAGAAUAACUGUGGUUCUGAAUGACAUUUCCACAUGAGUAGAUGAUUACCUAGGAUAUUUUGUGUAACACCAAUGGCAAAUCCACUGUGAAUCAUGAAUAGAAAACACAAAGAUUUGCUUCCACUAUAAUCAAGGGAAAUUAAUUCAUGGCCCUCAAAUUGAUUUCUUUGGGUCUCCAUUCACUAUGGAAAAAUCACUGUACCCUGGAGUGUUCUCAAGGAUCCAAUUAUCGGCCGCCUACAGAGACUGUGGAUGAACUGCCUGAUCACCCACACUCGAAGAAGAAGAAAUUUUUUAUUCAAAGUUAUAAAAAAAUUGGAUGUCAAGCGAGGAUGACAGUAAAAUGUGUAAGGGUUUAUCCCGAUUUUACCUCGCCUGACUCGAAGAGGAAAAAGUGUGCUGUAAGUUCAAUACAUCAUACACAUCUCAUACACCACUUUCGUGCGUAGAAAUAUCAUUCGAGAAAAUUUCCUCCACAUGGGUGGAGCACUAUGAUAAAAGAAAGAGGCCUUUUUUUAAUGUAAACCCAAGCCUUCUCCACGAAUCAUAUUUUUAAUAAGUCCGUAGCCAAAUAAUUUGAAGUUCUCUGUAACAUUGGCGAUCACUUGACAGCCAGAAGCUUCUGUGCACAAUCACAAGAAAUAUAUUUUUAUAUUGAAUGCCUGUCACAGAUACUUAAAUUAUCAGUUAUUUUUGAAUUAGCAUGAAUAGGUACUAAGAAGUAUAUCAUACAUAUAUAUAUAUAUAUGUGUAUCCUAUAUAAUAAGUUAUUUAAUGUUUUGUGUACUGCACAAUAUAUACAUGCAAUAGUCA
Long non-coding RNA from Bacillus rossius redtenbacheri, 1255 nucleotides. RefSeq lists it as uncharacterized. The transcript has 4 exons. The record is from RefSeq and is a predicted model, not a curated record. Lineage: Eukaryota; Metazoa; Arthropoda; Insecta; Phasmatodea; Bacillidae.